AUUGAACGCUGGCGGAAUGCUUUACACAUGCAAGUCGAACGGCAGCACGGGGGCAGCCCUGGUGGCGAGUGGCGAACGGGUGAGUAAUACAUCGGAACGUGCCCGGUCGUGGGGGAUAACGUAGCGAAAGUUACGCUAAUACCGCAUACGAUCUGAGGAUGAAAGCGGGGGACCUUCGGGCCUCGCGCGAUCGGAGCGGCCGAUGUCAGAUUAGGUAGUUGGUGGGGUAAAGGCCUACCAAGCCGACGAUCUGUAGCCGGUCUGAGAGGACGACCAGCCACACUGGGACUGAGACACGGCCCAGACUCCUACGGGAGGCAGCAGUGGGGAAUUUUGGACAAUGGGCGCAAGCCUGAUCCAGCCAUUCCGCGUGCAGGACGAAGGCCUUCGGGUUGUAAACUGCUUUUGUACGGAACGAAAAGGCUCUGGCUAAUACCUGGGGCUCAUGACGGUACCGUAAGAAUAAGCACCGGCUAACUACGUG
RNAcentral lists this ribosomal RNA (484 nucleotides) under uncultured bacterium. RNAcentral's name for it is "partial 16S ribosomal RNA". It matches the Rfam family "Bacterial small subunit ribosomal RNA", at positions 30 to 507 of the family's 1533-position model. The record is from RNAcentral.